AUACAAUGGAGAGUUUGAUCCUGGCUCAGGAUGAACGCUAGCGGGAGGCCUAACACAUGCAAGCCGAGCGGUAGAUUACUUUCGGGUAAUUGAGAGCGGCGUACGGGUGCGGAACACGUGUGCAACCUGCCUUUAUCAGGGGGAUAGCCUUUCGAAAGGAAGAUUAAUACCCCAUAAUAUAUUAUUCGGCAUCGGGUGAUAUUGAAAACUACGGUGGAUAGAGAUGGGCACGCGCAAGAUUAGCUAGUUGGUGAGGUAACGGCUCACCAAGGCGACGAUCUUUAGGGGGCCUGAGA
This 296-nucleotide ribosomal RNA is filed under the name Elizabethkingia anophelis. RNAcentral describes it as "partial 16S ribosomal RNA". It matches the Rfam family "Bacterial small subunit ribosomal RNA", at positions 1 to 297 of the family's 1533-position model. Lineage: Bacteria; Pseudomonadati; Bacteroidota; Flavobacteriia; Flavobacteriales; Weeksellaceae. The record is from RNAcentral.